Molecule: ribosomal RNA, 583 nt
Filed under: Microbacterium sp. Ri3Pt_4345
Lineage: Bacteria; Bacillati; Actinomycetota; Actinomycetes; Micrococcales; Microbacteriaceae
Description: bacterial SSU rRNA
Rfam family: Bacterial small subunit ribosomal RNA
Source: RNAcentral
AAACCUCUUUUAGCAGGGAAGAAGCGAAAGUGACGGUACCUGCAGAAAAAGCGCCGGCUAACUACGUGCCAGCAGCCGCGGUAAUACGUAGGGCGCAAGCGUUAUCCGGAAUUAUUGGGCGUAAAGAGCUCGUAGGCGGUUUGUCGCGUCUGCUGUGAAAUCCCGAGGCUCAACCUCGGGCCUGCAGUGGGUACGGGCAGACUAGAGUGCGGUAGGGGAGAUUGGAAUUCCUGGUGUAGCGGUGGAAUGCGCAGAUAUCAGGAGGAACACCGAUGGCGAAGGCAGAUCUCUGGGCCGUAACUGACGCUGAGGAGCGAAAGGGUGGGGAGCAAACAGGCAUAGAUACCCUGGUAGUCCACCCCGUAAACGUUGGGAACUAGUUGUGGGGACCAUUCCACGGUUUCCGUGACGCAGCUAACGCAUUAAGUUCCCCGCCUGGGGAGUACGGCCGCAAGGCUAAAACUCAAAGGAAUUGACGGGGACCCGCACAAGCGGCGGAGCAUGCGGAUUAAUUCGAUGCAACGCGAAGAACCUUACCAAGGCUUGACAUAUACGAGAACGGGCCAGAAAUGGUCAACUCUUU